GGGUUGUGAGGUUAAGCGACUAAGCGUACACGGUGGAUGCCCUGGCAGUCAGAGGCGAUGAAGGACGUGCUAAUCUGCGAUAAGCGUCGGUGAGGUGAUAUGAACCGUUAUAACCGGCGAUUUCCGAAUGGGGAAACCCAGUGUGUUUCGACACACUAUCAUUAACUGAAUCCAUAGGUUAAUGAGGCGAACCGGGGGAACUGAAACAUCUAAGUACCCCGAGGAAAAGAAAUCAACCGAGAUUCCCCCAGUAGCGGCGAGCGAACGGGGAGGAGCCCAGAGCCUGAAUCAGUGUGUGUGUUAGUGGAAGCGUCUGGAAAGGCGUGCGAUACAGGGUGACAGCCCCGUACACAAAAAUGCACAUAUUGUGAGCUCGAUGAGUAGGGCGGGACACGUGGUAUCCUGUCUGAAUAUGGGGGGACCAUCCUCCAAGGCUAAAUACUCCUGACUGACCGAUAGUGAACCAGUACCGUGAGGGAAAGGCGAAAAGAACCCCGGCGAGGGGAGUGAAAAAGAACCUGAAACCGUGUACGUACAAGCAGUGGGAGCCUCUUAAUGGGGUGACUGCGUACCUUUUGUAUAAUGGGUCAGCGACUUAUAUUCUGUAGCAAGGUUAACCGAAUAGGGGAGCCGAAGGGAAACCGAGUCUUAACUGGGCGUUAAGUUGCAGGGUAUAGACCCGAAACCCGGUGAUCUAGCCAUGGGCAGGUUGAAGGUUGGGUAACACUAACUGGAGGACCGAACCGACUAAUGUUGAAAAAUUAGCGGAUGACUUGUGGCUGGGGGUGAAAGGCCAAUCAAACCGGGAGAUAGCUGGUUCUCCCCGAAAGCUAUUUAGGUAGCGCCUCGUGAAUUCAUCUCCGGGGGUAGAGCACUGUUUCGGCAAGGGGGUCAUCCCGACUUACCAACCCGAUGCAAACUGCGAAUACCGGAGAAUGUUAUCACGGGAGACACACGGCGGGUGCUAACGUCCGUCGUGAAGAGGGAAACAACCCAGACCGCCAGCUAAGGUCCCAAAGUCAUGGUUAAGUGGGAAACGAUGUGGGAAGGCCCAGACAGCCAGGAUGUUGGCUUAGAAGCAGCCAUCAUUUAAAGAAAGCGUAAUAGCUCACUGGUCGAGUCGGCCUGCGCGGAAGAUGUAACGGGGCUAAACCAUGCACCGAAGCUGCGGCAGCGACACUAUGUGUUGUUGGGUAGGGGAGCGUUCUGUAAGCCUGUGAAGGUGGCCUGUGAGGGUUGCUGGAGGUAUCAGAAGUGCGAAUGCUGACAUAAGUAACGAUAAAGCGGGUGAAAAGCCCGCUCGCCGGAAGACCAAGGGUUCCUGUCCAACGUUAAUCGGGGCAGGGUGAGUCGACCCCUAAGGCGAGGCCGAAAGGCGUAGUCGAUGGGAAACAGGUUAAUAUUCCUGUACUUGGUGUUACUGCGAAGGGGGGACGGAGAAGGCUAUGUUGGCCGGGCGACGGUUGUCCCGGUUUAAGCGUGUAGGCUGGUUUUCCAGGCAAAUCCGGAAAACCAAGGCUGAGGCGUGAUGACGAGGCACUACGGUGCUGAAGYGACAAAUGCCCUGCUUCCAGGAAAAGCCUCUAAGCAUCAGGUAACAUCAAAUCGUACCCMAAACCGACACAGGUGGUCAGGUAGAGAAUACCAAGGCGCUUGAGAGAACUCGGGUGAAGGAACUAGGCAAAAUGGUGCCGUAACUUCGGGAGAAGGCACGCUGAUAUGUAGGUGAAGCGACUUGCUCGUGGAGCUGAAAUCAGUCGAAGAUACCAGCUGGCUGCAACUGUUUAUUAAAAACACAGCACUGUGCAAACACGAAAGUGGACGUAUACGGUGUGACGCCUGCCCGGUGCCGGAAGGUUAAUUGAUGGGGUUAGCGGUAACGCGAAGCUCUUGAUCGAAGCCCCGGUAAACGGCGGCCGUAACUAUAACGGUCCUAAGGUAGCGAAAUUCCUUGUCGGGUAAGUUCCGACCUGCACGAAUGGCGUAAUGAUGGCCAGGCUGUCUCCACCCGAGACUCAGUGAAAUUGAACUCGCUGUGAAGAUGCAGUGUACCCGCGGCAAGACGGAAAGACCCCGUGAACCUUUACUAUAGCUUGACACUGAACAUUGAGCCUUGAUGUGUAGGAUAGGUGGGAGGCUUUGAAGUGUGGACGCCAGUCUGCAUGGAGCCGACCUUGAAAUACCACCCUUUAAUGUUUGAUGUUCUAACGUUGGCCCGUAAUCCGGGUUGCGGACAGUGUCUGGUGGGUAGUUUGACUGGGGCGGUCUCCUCCUAAAGAGUAACGGAGGAGCACGAAGGUUGGCUAAUCCUGGUCGGACAUCAGGAGGUUAGUGCAAUGGCAUAAGCCAGCUUGACUGCGAGCGUGACGGCGCGAGCAGGUGCGAAAGCAGGUCAUAGUGAUCCGGUGGUUCUGAAUGGAAGGGCCAUCGCUCAACGGAUAAAAGGUACUCCGGGGAUAACAGGCUGAUACCGCCCAAGAGUUCAUAUCGACGGCGGUGUUUGGCACCUCGAUGUCGGCUCAUCACAUCCUGGGGCUGAAGUAGGUCCCAAGGGUAUGGCUGUUCGCCAUUUAAAGUGGUACGCGAGCUGGGUUUAGAACGUCGUGAGACAGUUCGGUCCCUAUCUGCCGUGGGCGCUGGAGAACUGAGGGGGGCUGCUCCUAGUACGAGAGGACCGGAGUGGACGCAUCACUGGUGUUCGGGUUGUCAUGCCAAUGGCACUGCCCGGUAGCUAAAUGCGGAAGAGAUAAGUGCUGAAAGCAUCUAAGCACGAAACUUGCCCCGAGAUGAGUUCUCCCUGACUCCUUGAGRGUCCUGAAGGAACGUUGAAGACGACGACGUUGAUAGGCCGGGUGUGUAAGCGCAGCGAUGCGUUGAGCUAACCGGUACUAAUGAACCGUGAGGCUUAACCUUACAACGCCGAAG
Molecule: ribosomal RNA, 2925 nt
Filed under: Escherichia coli
Lineage: Bacteria; Pseudomonadati; Pseudomonadota; Gammaproteobacteria; Enterobacterales; Enterobacteriaceae
Description: 23S ribosomal RNA
Rfam family: Bacterial large subunit ribosomal RNA
Source: RNAcentral